RNAcentral lists this ribosomal RNA (273 nucleotides) under Triticum aestivum (bread wheat). RNAcentral describes it as "partial small subunit ribosomal RNA". Lineage: Eukaryota; Viridiplantae; Streptophyta; Magnoliopsida; Poales; Poaceae. The record is from RNAcentral.
CAAGCUACCCUAGGUACAUGCUCAAUCUGUGGUGUUGAAGAUGAAUGUGUUUUUCAUGCUUUGGUAUGAUGUCCCAAGGUACGUGCAUUCCGUAUGAGUUUGAGGGAGGUGUGGAACUUGCCGGAUGAAGAUAUUUUAAACUGUUCGGGGCCGGACUGGUUACUUAUUUUAUUGGAUCAGUUAAGUUCGCCUAUGCGUGAGCAAACAAUUUUCUUGUUCUGGAGAGCUUGGCAUUUGAGAAAUGACUUCAUUUUUGGUAAAGGAAAGGAAUCU